RNAcentral lists this ribosomal RNA (609 nucleotides) under Lactiplantibacillus plantarum. RNAcentral's name for it is "bacterial SSU rRNA". It matches the Rfam family "Bacterial small subunit ribosomal RNA", at positions 371 to 971 of the family's 1533-position model. Lineage: Bacteria; Bacillati; Bacillota; Bacilli; Lactobacillales; Lactobacillaceae. The record is from RNAcentral.
AUGGACGAAAGUCUGAUGGAGCAACGCCGCGUGAGUGAAGAAGGGUUUCGGCUCGUAAAACUCUGUUGUUAAAGAAGAACAUAUCUGAGAGUAACUGUUCAGGUAUUGACGGUAUUUAACCAGAAAGCCACGGCUAACUACGUGCCAGCAGCCGCGGUAAUACGUAGGUGGCAAGCGUUGUCCGGAUUUAUUGGGCGUAAAGCGAGCGCAGGCGGUUUUUUAAGUCUGAUGUGAAAGCCUUCGGCUCAACCGAAGAAGUGCAUCGGAAACUGGGGAACUUGAGUGCAGAAGAGGACAGUGGAACUCCAUGUGUAGCGGUGAAAUGCGUAGAUAUAUGGAAGAACACCAGUGGCGAAGGCGGCUGUCUGGUCUGUAACUGACGCUGAGGCUCGAAAGUAUGGGUAGCAAACAGGAUUAGAUACCCUGGUAGUCCAUACCGUAAACGAUGAAUGCUAAGUGUUGGAGGGUUUCCGCCCUUCAGUGCUGCAGCUAACGCAUUAAGCAUUCCGCCUGGGGAGUACGGCCGCAAGGCUGAAACUCAAAGGAAUUGACGGGGGCCCGCACAAGCGGUGGAGCAUGUGGUUUAAUUCGAAGCUACGCGAAGAACCU